AGAUUGAACGCUGGCGGCAUGCCUAACACAUGCAAGUCGAACGGGAGUAGCAAUACUCUAGUGGCGGACGGGUGAGGAAUACGUAGGAAUUUGCCCUUAAGUGGGGGGAUAACCCGGGGGAACCCGGAUUAAUACCGCAUGACCUCGAAGAGCAAAGUGGGGGAUCGCAAGACCUCACGCUUUUGGAGAAGCCUACGUCGGAUUAGCUAGUUGGUGAGGUAAUGGCUCACCAAGGCGACGAUCCGUAACUGGUCUGAGAGGAUGAUCAGUCACACCGGAACUGAGACACGGUCCGGACUCCUACGGGAGCAGCAGUGGGAAUAUUGGACGAAGUGGGACGCCGAAAGCCUGAUCCAGCAACGCCGACGUGUGUGAAGAAGG
RNAcentral lists this ribosomal RNA (381 nucleotides) under uncultured soil bacterium. RNAcentral describes it as "bacterial SSU rRNA". It matches the Rfam family "Bacterial small subunit ribosomal RNA", at positions 26 to 414 of the family's 1533-position model. The record is from RNAcentral.